GAUCCUGGCUCAGGAUGAACGCUAGCUACAGGCUUAACACAUGCAAGUCGAGGGGAAACGACAUCGAAAGCUUGCUUUUGAUGGGCGUCGACCGGCGCACGGGUGAGUAACGCGUAUCCAACCUGCCCAUCACUUGGGAAUAACCUUGCGAAAGUAAGACUAAUGCCCAAUGAUAUCCCACGAAGGCAUCCGAAUGGGAUUAAAGAAUUUCGGUUAUCGAUGGGGAUGCGUUCCAUUAGGCAG
RNAcentral lists this ribosomal RNA (243 nucleotides) under uncultured bacterium. RNAcentral describes it as "partial 16S ribosomal RNA". It matches the Rfam family "Bacterial small subunit ribosomal RNA", at positions 15 to 248 of the family's 1533-position model. The record is from RNAcentral.